ACUGCCGGUGACAAACCGGAGGAAGGUGGGGAUGACGUCAAGUCCUCAUGGCCCUUAUAGGUGGGGCUACACACGUCAUACAAUGGAUGGUACAAAGGGUCGCCAACCCGCGAGGGGGAGCCAAUCCCAUAAAGCCAUUCGUAGUCCGGAUCGCAGUCUGCAACUCGACUGCGUGAAGUCGGAAUCGCUAGUAAUCGUGGAUCAGAAUGUCACGGUGAAUACGUUCCCGGGUCUU
Molecule: ribosomal RNA, 235 nt
Filed under: uncultured Acidovorax sp.
Lineage: Bacteria; Pseudomonadati; Pseudomonadota; Betaproteobacteria; Burkholderiales; Comamonadaceae
Description: partial 16S ribosomal RNA
Rfam family: Bacterial small subunit ribosomal RNA
Source: RNAcentral